GACGAACGCUGGCGGCAUGCCUAAUACAUGCAAGUCGAGCGAACAGAUGAAGUGCUUGCACUUCUGACGUUAGCGGCGAACGGGUGAGUAACACGUAAGGAAUCUACCUAUAAGCGGAGGAUAACAUUCGGAAACGGGUGCUAAUACCGCAUAAUAUCUUCUUCCGCAUGGAAGAAGAUUGAAAGACGGCUCUGCUGUCACUUAUAGAUGACCUUGCGGUGCAUUAGUUAGUUGGUGGGGUAACGGCCUACCAAGACAAUGAUGCAUAGCCGACCUGAGAGGGUGAUCGGCCACAUUGGGACUGAGACACGGCCCAAACUCCUACGGGAGGCAGCAGUAGGGAAUCUUCCGCAAUGGGCGAAAGCCUGACGGAGCAAUGCCGCGUGAGUGAAGAAGGCCUUCGGGUCGUAAAACUCUGUUAUAAGAGAAGAACAAAUUGUAGAGUAACUGCUACAGUCUUGACGGUAUCUUAUCAGAAAGCCACGGCUAACUACGUGCCAGCCGCCGCCGUAA
RNAcentral lists this ribosomal RNA (513 nucleotides) under uncultured bacterium. RNAcentral describes it as "partial 16S ribosomal RNA". It matches the Rfam family "Bacterial small subunit ribosomal RNA", at positions 28 to 523 of the family's 1533-position model. The record is from RNAcentral.